AUUAGAAAUACAGGCAGAUCUUUGCUUCAGCAGCACAUAUACAGAGGAUAUUAGCAUGGUCUCUGAACAAGUAUUACACACAAAUUUGUGAAGCAUUUCAUAUUUCA
This is a small nuclear RNA of Myodes glareolus (Bank vole), 107 nucleotides long. The record is from RefSeq and is a predicted model, not a curated record. Lineage: Eukaryota; Metazoa; Chordata; Mammalia; Rodentia; Cricetidae.